Molecule: long non-coding RNA, 1460 nt
Filed under: Vulpes vulpes (red fox)
Lineage: Eukaryota; Metazoa; Chordata; Mammalia; Carnivora; Canidae
Description: lncRNA (ENSVVUG00000022203.1)
Source: RNAcentral
UAUUCAUCACAGUUUUGUGUGUAUUCUGAGUGUCCUCCUAGGACUCAUUUUCUAAUAGGAUACUGAAAAGUAAAAUUAUCUAAUCUAGUGAAUAUAAUACAAGAAAAUGGCUUUCCAGGAGAAACCAAAGUUAGUAUAUUUUGAAAUAUGAUCACAAAUAAAAAACUGCUCCCAUAUCUCAGCUUGAGGGAAUCUGAGCUUCUGAAGAGUAUUUUCCCUCUGUCUCUGAUAUUGAACAUAUUUCUUCAGUGUUUUUAAUCAUAUAUUUAUUUUUCUUCAGCUAAUAUUUUGAGGUUUUAUUCUGUGCCCAGUACACAUCUAAUUUUCCACAUUAGGCUCUCAGUCUUUUCAGGUAAAAUUCACUUACUUAUUCAACGAAUACUUAUUGAAAAACUAUUAUAUGUACCUAGAAUUGUGCCUGACCCUGAAAAAAACAAUGGUACAUAAAUGCAGGUGCAACCCCGUACCCUCUAAAGAAGUUGAAAUGCUAGCGGGUGGGAAGGGAGAAGUGAAGGGAUUAUCCUUAGAUAGAAGGCAGCAGCCACACCUCCUUCCCCUCCCUCCAUUGUAACAGGUGGGUCACUGAAGUGAUGGGUGAAAGUAUAGUCAGAUUAGAAUGUUUAGUCAGAAAGUGAGGAAUGUUUCCAUAUAUAAAGAUCUACAAGGGGUGAUCAUUUGCUGAGAGACAUGGAAUGGGUAGUGUCAGAAUCUUCUAUUCAUGUGCGUAUUCUUGGCAACAAGUGGAACAAUUCUUAGCACAGACCCAGUACUUCUGAAAUGUUGGUUGUAUAGAUGACUUUCUCAUGGGAAUGAAGGAAUGAAGAACUGAAUGAAUGAUUCUGUUGAACUUGUACUCGGAAGGCCUAAGUGGUUGAAAGCUCAUGAGGGCUAUAGAACUGUCCUUCAAAGCAGGGUUAAAGAAACUAAAGUCCAGUCAUCCAAGGCAUAUCAGCUAUAUGUGAAGAAAUCCACACAUAAGUCAAUGAAAUUGUUUUUCUUUUUUUUGAAUUUUUAUUUAUUUAUUCAUGAGAGACACAGAGAAAGGCAGAGAAAUAGGCUCCAUACAGGGAGCCCCACGUGGGACCCCAUCCUGGGACUCCAGGAUCAUGCCCUGAGCCAAAGGCAGACCAGGUGAGCCACCCAGGGGUCCCUGAAAUUUUGGAUAUCAAAGACAAAACAUUGGCAUAUAUAAGUUGCUGAAUAAUUACUACUUCCCAUUUCUCUUUUCUACAUCACUCUUCCAAGAAAUUUAGUCAGAUAGGGCAAUUAACUCGUAUGACUUUGUAUAGUGUCCAUUUAUUAAAGCAUAUUUUAUUGUUAAUUUGAUAUCUGUUGGGACUUUUAUUUGAACGUUAUACAGCCUCUAGUGGCUCUUCUAGGGCUGGGGCAAAUUAGUAGUCAUUUGGACAAGCAAUUUUACUGGAUUCAAAUACAGAAAAUAAACUUUUAUUCAAAAACCA